UGGCCAAGAUGGAGAGCAACCUGAGCCGCGGGGAUCAAAUCCUGGAAGUGAACUCCGUCAAUGUCCGCCAUGCUGCUUUAAGCAAAGUCCACGCCAUCUUGAGCAAAUGUCCUCCAGGACCCGUUCGCCUUGUCAUCGGCCGGCACCCUAAUCCAAAGGUACCCCCUUGAAGAGUCCCUCUCUUGCAAAAAAGGACUCCCUUAUUUCUGAAUCUGAACUCUCCCAGUACUUUGCCCACGAUGUCCCUGGCCCCUUGUCAGACUUCAUGGUGGCCGGUUCUGAGGACGAGGAUCACCCAGGAAGUGGCUGCAGCACGUCGGAGGAGGGCAGCCUGCCUCCCAGCACCUCCA
This 350-nucleotide small RNA is filed under the name Pan troglodytes (chimpanzee). Its description in RNAcentral is "processed transcript". The record is from RNAcentral. Lineage: Eukaryota; Metazoa; Chordata; Mammalia; Primates; Hominidae.